AUUGCUUGAGCCUGGGAGGUAGAGGCUGCAGUGAGCCAUAACUGUGCCACUGCACUCCAGCCUCCAGCCUGGGCAACAGAGACAGACCCUGUCUCAAACAAACAAAACCAGGCCAGGCGCAGUGGCUCACGCCUGUAAUCCCAGCACGUUGGGAGACCGAGGUGGGUGAAUCACCUGAGGUCGGGAGUUCAAGACCAGCCUGACCAACCUGGAGAAACCCCAUCUCUACUAAAAAUACAAAAUUAGGCCUGGUGGCGCAUGCCUGUAAUCCCAGCUGCUAGGGAAGCUGAGGCAGGAGAAUCACUUGAACUCGCGAGGCAGAGAUUGCGGUGAGCCGAGACAGCACCAUUGCACUCCAGCCUGGGUGACAAGAGCGAAACUCCGUCUCAAAAAACAAAAAACACACAAACAACGAUGUGGGAGACUCCAG
This 430-nucleotide long non-coding RNA is filed under the name Homo sapiens (human). RNAcentral's name for it is "HSALNT0000364". Lineage: Eukaryota; Metazoa; Chordata; Mammalia; Primates; Hominidae. The record is from RNAcentral.